AUGGCCAAAUAUUUUUGGAUCAGCUCUAUAGACAAAAAUGUAUUGCAUUGGGUUUCCUGGAAGAGUUUAGCUACACCAAAGUGCCAAGGUGGUAUGGGGUUUCGUGACCCCCAUCAGUUCAAUCUUGCGCUGCUCGGGAAGCAUGGUUGGCGCUUUAUGACUAACCCUAAUUCCCUUUGCGCAAGAGUAAUGAAGGGCUGCUACUUUCCUGACACGGAUUUCUUGCAUGCUUCUGUGCGACUUGGUGGGCUAUCAUUGCUAGUAGGAAAGCCUUACAGGCGGGCCUCAUCAAAAGAGUUGGAGACGGGAGAUCCAUUGAUGCUUGGCAGGACAAGUGGAUUCCGGGUACCAUAUCUAUGUCACCUUUGCUAA
RNAcentral lists this ribosomal RNA (372 nucleotides) under Triticum aestivum (bread wheat). Its description in RNAcentral is "partial small subunit ribosomal RNA". The record is from RNAcentral. Lineage: Eukaryota; Viridiplantae; Streptophyta; Magnoliopsida; Poales; Poaceae.